This 477-nucleotide long non-coding RNA is filed under the name Panax ginseng (ginseng). Its description in RNAcentral is "long non-coding RNA (PGIN_LNC000171)". The record is from RNAcentral. Lineage: Eukaryota; Viridiplantae; Streptophyta; Magnoliopsida; Apiales; Araliaceae.
UAUUCUGAGAAUAUGCUAAGAAUAUGCCAAGGGGUGAUUUGCAAGCUUUUAAAGACUAGGGGGAAGACUAGAGAAGAUUUAAGUUGGGUGACUAACUUAUAAAAAAUUGAAAGUAACUUCUAUAUAAGCAAAAUCAAAAUUUACUUAUAUUCAUUUUAGCCAAAUUUGCUAAGUUUAGAGAGAGAGAGAGAGAGAGAGACACAAGAGAGAGAGAAGAUGAGCUAGGAUUAUCAUGUAGCAAGCCAAGAACAACACCCCAAGAUCCAUCUCAUAUCUUUGAAGAAGAAAGAAAAUCAAAGCAAGGUAUAAGAAUUCUUAAACACAAAACUCUAAUUAGUUUAUGUGUUUGAUUUUUGUCAAAAUAAUGAGUUUUGAUCUUCAAAACUCUAGAUCUACAUGAUUUAGAGUGUUUUAUGUGUGGAUCUAUCUAUUUUAUGUUUCAAAAGAUAGAUCAAAAGCAGGAAAAGUGAAGCUAGG